This is a long non-coding RNA of Ictalurus punctatus (channel catfish), 748 nucleotides long. NCBI's taxonomy places the organism in Eukaryota, Metazoa, Chordata, Actinopteri, Siluriformes, Ictaluridae. The record is from Ensembl.
CUCAUAGUGGCAUGCAUUCAUUAAGGCUUGGCAUAAGGCAAUGCAUAUGAUUAUCUGUGGCAUGCAUAGGGGUAAUGUAAAGGGCUUAACUUUUGGAGAUGCUGAUUCUACUAUGCGUUUCAUCUGUGCACUGUGGGACUGAGAUCUAUAAAAGAGCAGGAUUAGAAACGGUCUACUCAUUUUUGCACAGAGGAGCAUACGUUUAUGAUGCUUCCUCAUUUGCAGCGCGUGCACCUGCGGUUAGGCGGGGAGGCUGUUAGCAUCACCGCGCGCGUGCAGUCUUUUAAUUCUACUUUAUUCUUCUUCUCAUUGUUAUCAUGAUCAUUUCUUAAAAAGAAUCUGAUGUCAUUUGGCCUCGCUAGUUCUGUAUUCACGCCUCCGAUCACGCAAAGCACAGUCAAUAUUCCACGCCUUUUCCACUACAUAAACUGCAUGACGGAAUUAUUAUGCACCGCGCGUGCUGUUUACUUUAGUGCCAACUUCACUAUCAUCACCGCUUAUCUACCGAUACGUUACCGAGAAAUGACAUAAACGAUACAAAAAAUGCAUGAAAUCAGCUUUAAAAACUGUCUCCGCACUCAGCAUUUUUCCAGAAGAGAGAGAGAGAGAGAAGGAGGACAAGACAUUCCACCCUGCCAUUUAUUAGCCAAAGUGGAUUAAUGGUACACACCUGCUUUCCUGUACACAGCGUCACUGUAUUAGCUGUGCUGUUGAACGCUGGAUUCUGAUUGGUCAGAAGAUGAAAAGU